AGGGUUUGAUCAUGGCUCAGAAUCAACGCUGGCGGCGUGCCUCAGACAUGCAAGUCGAACGAUUAAAGCUCUCUUCGGAGAGUGCAUAGAGUGGCGCACGGGUGAGUAACACGUAAGUAAUCUACCCUCGAGUGGGGAAUAACAUCGGGAAACCGAUGCUAAUACCGCAUAAUGCAGCGGCACCGCAAGGUGACAGUUGUUAAAGGAAUUUAUUUCGCUUGAGGAGGAGCUUGCGGCAGAUUAGCUAGUUGGUAAGGUAAUGGCUUACCAAGGCUACGAUCUGUAUCCGGUCUAAGAGGACGGUCGGACACACUGACACUGAAUAACGGGUCAGACUCCUACGGGAGGCAGCAGUCGGGAAUUUUGGGCAAUGGGGGAAACCCUGACCCAGCAACGCCGCGUGAAGGAUGAAGUUUUUCGGAAUGUAAACUUCGAAAGAAUAGGAAGAAUUAAUGACGGUACUAUUUAUAAGGUCCGGCUAACUACGUGCCAGCAGCCGCGGUAAUACGUAGGGACCAAGCGUUGUUCGGAUUUACUGGGCGUAAAGGGCGCGUAGGCGGCGUGGUAAGUCACUUGUGAAAUCUCUGAGCUUAACUCAGAACGGCCAAGUGAUACUGCUGUGCUAGAGUGCAGAAGGGGCAAUCGGAAUUCUUGGUGUAGCGGUGAAAUGCGUAGAUAUCAAGAGGAACACCUGAGGUGAAGACGGGUUGCUGGGCUGACACUGACGCUGAGGCGCGAAAGCCAGGGGAGCAAACGGGAUUAGAUACCCCGGUAGUCCUGGCCCUAAACGAUGAAUACUUGGUGUCUGGAGUCUUUAAUGCUCCGGGUGCCGUCGCUAACGUUUUAAGUAUUCCGCCUGGGGAGUACGGUCGCAAGACUGAAACUCAAAGGAAUUGACGGGGACCCGCACAAGCGGUG
RNAcentral lists this ribosomal RNA (918 nucleotides) under uncultured Acidobacteriota bacterium. Its description in RNAcentral is "bacterial SSU rRNA". It matches the Rfam family "Bacterial small subunit ribosomal RNA", at positions 8 to 934 of the family's 1533-position model. Lineage: Bacteria; Pseudomonadati; Acidobacteriota. The record is from RNAcentral.